RNAcentral lists this ribosomal RNA (605 nucleotides) under uncultured bacterium. Its description in RNAcentral is "bacterial SSU rRNA". It matches the Rfam family "Bacterial small subunit ribosomal RNA", at positions 338 to 944 of the family's 1533-position model. The record is from RNAcentral.
CCUACGGGAGGCAGCAGUGAGGAAUAUUGGACAAUGGGCGCAAGCCUGAUCCAGCCAUGCCGCGUGCAGGAAGAAGCAUCUAUGGUGUGUAAACUGCUUUUGUACAGGAAGAAACACUCCCUCGUGGGGGAGCUUGACGGUACUGUAAGAAUAAGGACCGGCUAACUCCGUGCCAGCAGCCGCGGUAAUACGGAGGGUCCGAGCGUUAUCCGGAAUCAUUGGGUUUAAAGGGUCCGUAGGCGGUUUAAUAAGUCAGUGGUGAAAUCUGGUCGCUCAACGAUCAAACGGCCAUUGAUACUGUUAGACUUGAAUUAUAAGGAAGUAACUAGAAUACGUAGUGUAGCGGUGAAAUGCUUAGAUAUUACAUGGAAUACCAAUUGCGAAGGCAGGUUACUACUUAUGGAUUGACGCUGAUGGACGAAAGCGUGGGGAGCGAACAGGAUUAGAUACCCUGGUAGUCCACGCCGUAAACGAUGGAUACUAGCUGUUCGGAGCAAUCUGAGUGGCUAAGCGAAAGUGAUAAGUAUCCCACCUGGGGAGUACGUUCGCAAGAAUGAAACUUAAAUGAAUUGACGGCUGAGAGAGCGAGAGACACGAGGAGGAGG